RNAcentral lists this long non-coding RNA (294 nucleotides) under Mytilus galloprovincialis (Mediterranean mussel). Lineage: Eukaryota; Metazoa; Mollusca; Bivalvia; Mytilida; Mytilidae. The record is from RNAcentral.
GGGGGAGGACAGGGGUAAGGGAGACGGGGAGAAAGGGGGUAGGAGAAAGGAGAAAGGGGGUGGGAGAAAGGAGAAAGGGGGUAGGAGAAAGGAGAAGAAGGCUGGGAGAAAGGAGAAAAAGUUGGAGAAAGGAGAAAAAAUAAAAUAUCUCUCCUUUUAAAAUUUUUUUCUAAUAUUUCAAGAAAAAAAUAUCUCAAAAGGAGAUGUUUUAUUCUAAUGGGAGAAAGGAGAACGGGGGUAGGAGAAAGGAGAAGAGGGGUUGGAGAAGGGAGAAGGGUACCACCCUGUCCUCCC